GAUGAACGCUGGCGGCGUGCCUAAUACAUGCAAGUCGAGCGAACAGACGAGGAGCUUGCUCCUCUGACGUUAGCGGCGGACGGGUGAGUAACACGUGGAUAACCUACCUAUAAGACUGGGAUAACUUCGGGAAACCGGAGCUAAUACCGGAUAAUAUAUUGAACCGCAUGGUUCAAUAGUGAAAGACGGUUUUGCUUUCACUUAUAGAUGGAUCCGCGCCGCAUUAGCUAGUUGGUAAGGUAACGGCUUACCAAGGCGACGAUGCGUAGCCGACCUGAGAGGGUGAUCGGCCACACUGGAACUGAGACACGGUCCAGACUCCUACGGGAGGCAGCAGUAGGGAAUCUUCCGCAAUGGGCGAAAGCCUGACGGAGCAACGCCGCGUGAGUGAUGAAGGUCUUCGGAUCGUAAAACUCUGUUAUUAGGGAAGAACAAAUGCGUAAGUAACUAUGCACGUCUUGACGGUACCUAAUCAGAAAGCCACGGCUAACUACGUG
Molecule: ribosomal RNA, 497 nt
Filed under: uncultured bacterium
Lineage: Bacteria
Description: partial 16S ribosomal RNA
Rfam family: Bacterial small subunit ribosomal RNA
Source: RNAcentral